Molecule: transfer RNA, 63 nt
Filed under: Laevipilina hyalina
Lineage: Eukaryota; Metazoa; Mollusca; Monoplacophora; Tryblidiida; Neopilinidae
Description: tRNA-Leu
Source: RNAcentral
AUUUAGUUGGCAGAAUAAUGCGCUUGAUUUAGAAUCAAUCCAUGAUCACAGGAUCACUAAAUA